RNAcentral lists this ribosomal RNA (1346 nucleotides) under uncultured bacterium. RNAcentral describes it as "partial 16S ribosomal RNA". It matches the Rfam family "Bacterial small subunit ribosomal RNA", at positions 28 to 1381 of the family's 1533-position model. The record is from RNAcentral.
GACGAACGCUGGCGGCGUGCUUAACACAUGCAAGUCGAACGGAAAGGCCCUGCUUUUGUGGGGUGCUCGAGUGGCGAACGGGUGAGUAACACGUGAGUAACCUGCCCUUGACUUUGGGAUAACUUCAGGAAACUGGGGCUAAUACCGGAUAGGAGCUCCUGCUGCAUGGUGGGGGUUGGAAAGUUUCGGCGGUUGGGGAUGGACUCGCGGCUUAUCAGCUUGUUGGUGGGGUAGUGGCUUACCAAGGCUUUGACGGGUAGCCGGCCUGAGAGGGUGGCCGGCCACAUUGGGACUGAGAUACGGCCCAGACUCCUACGGGAGGCAGCAGUGGGGAAUAUUGCACAAUGGGCGGAAGCCUGAUGCAGCAACGCCGCGUGCGGGAUGACGGCCUUCGGGUUGUAAACCGCUUUCGCCUGUGACGAAGCGUGAGUGACGGUAAUGGGUAAAGAAGCACCGGCUAACUACGUGCCAGCAGCCGCGGUGAUACGUAGGGUGCGAGCGUUGUCCGGAUUUAUUGGGCGUAAAGGGCUCGUAGGUGGUUGAUCGCGUCGGAAGUGUAAUCUUGGGGCUUAACCCUGAGCGUGCUUUCGAUACGGGUUGACUUGAGGAAGGUAGGGGAGAAUGGAAUUCCUGGUGGAGCGGUGGAAUGCGCAGAUAUCAGGAGGAACACCAGUGGCGAAGGCGGUUCUCUGGGCCUUUCCUGACGCUGAGGAGCGAAAGCGUGGGGAGCGAACAGGCUUAGAUACCCUGGUAGUCCACGCUGUAAACGGUGGGUACUAGGUGUGGGGUCCAUUCCACGGGUUCCGUGCCGUAGCUAACGCUUUAAGUACCCCGCCUGGGGAGUACGGCCGCAAGGCUAAAACUCAAAGGAAUUGACGGGGCCCCGCACAAGCGGCGGAGCAUGCGGAUUAAUUCGAUGCAACGCGUAGAACCUUACCUGGGUUUGACAUGGAUCGGGAGUGCUCAGAGAUGGGUGUGCCUCUUUUGGGGUCGGUUCACAGGUGGUGCAUGGCUGUCGUCAGCUCGUGUCGUGAGAUGUUGGGUUAAGUCCCGCAACGAGCGCAACCCUUGUUCACUGUUGCCAGCACGUUAUGGUGGGGACUCAGUGGAGACCGCCGGGGUCAACUCGGAGGAAGGUGGGGAUGACGUCAAGUCAUCAUGCCCCUUAUGUCCAGGGCUUCACGCACGCUACAAUGGCUGGUACAGAGAGUGGCGAGCCUGUGAGGGUGAGCGAAUCUCGGAAAGCCGGUCUCAGUUCGGAUUGGGGUCUGCAACUCGACCUCAUGAAGUCGGAGUCGCUAGUAAUCGCAGAUCAGCAACGCUGCGGUGAAUACGUUCCCGGGGCU